Molecule: long non-coding RNA, 1192 nt
Organism: Ornithorhynchus anatinus (platypus)
Lineage: Eukaryota; Metazoa; Chordata; Mammalia; Monotremata; Ornithorhynchidae
Exons: 3
Source: RefSeq, a predicted model, not a curated record
ACAUUUUAUCCAAAAUGCAUAGUGGAAACGUAUUCUGGCAGAACGGAGUGUACUGUCUUUUUCUUACACAAUGAAAGCUUCUAAAAUCAGGGACUAUCUAAUUGAGUGGCUUUUCAUACUGCCUAGCACAACACCAUGCUUUUAAAAAUGCUAAAUGCCAGAAAUUGUAUUUGACAUAGUUCAAAUACUUCGCUAAGUCAUAUUUGCUCUCAGUUGCAUUCUUUUUUUCCAAAUACAUCAUUACUUUGGUCUGAGAACAGACCUUAAUUGAGGACCGCACACUAUACAAAAGAAGCAAGAAGGCACUUUAUCCACUGAAAAGAAAAGAGAAUACUGGCUGUAACAAAGACGUCAGUAAAGGAGCAUCAGUGGAACUUACAUCUUUAGCUUUAAAUUUCCUGUCUGCAAAGAACUCAUCACAGAGUUGGGCCUCUCGCCACUGGAGGGUUAAAAACUAGGCACUAUUACCUCCAGGAUCCCACAUUAUUCUUUACAGAUGUAUUCUUUGGACUACCUCACUAUGCUAUGUCAUCAUUAGCAUCAUCAAAAGUAGCCCGCUUGACAUCCCGCUUUAGCUCCUUCAGUAUCACUUUGAAAAGUUGACGCGUGAAGAAUGCAGGGGCUCCCCCAUGUGGACUUACUAAAUGGAUUCAUGAAUCCCUUUUCAAGCCUGAUUUGUUUAAUCAAACACAGCAUAAUGACCAUAAAUGGUAGGUAAAAUAUUUUGCAAAGGCACAGCUGGAUAGCUAGCUAGUCACCAUUCCAUCUAUUCAAAUAGUAUUAAGGCCAUAACAUGUUACCUAUAUUCCCCUACAUUUAUAAAGGAGGGUGGAAACUGACCACCUUAAAACACCAUUCUAUAAGUCAAAUCCUUGGGAUUGCUGCAGGUCAACCGAAGAAACGCUGAAAGACCUCUUCCAGUCAAAUCUUAGACAUUUCCCUUUCACAAGACCAAACUUCUGAAGCAAUUGGCCUUUUGAUUUUAUUGCACUGUAAAAUGUACUUAUUUUGAUCCUCAUCUUGUUUCAGGAUUGACGGUGGAUGACUCCAGGAUGUUCUCUGGUUUUGACACUCUGCUGUCAAAACUCCAGACUCCAAUUUAACCCCACUCGAAUCCACCUUCUUCCAUUACCUUGUUGGCAGAUGAGAACUUUCAUUUGUUGCAAAUAAAUGCCUACAAUUACCAUAACUA